GGACCUUUAGCUCAGUUGGUUAGAGCAGACGACUCAUAACCGUCUGCUCGUAGGUUCGAUUUCUACCGGUCUUCCC
This 76-nucleotide transfer RNA is filed under the name Bacillus thuringiensis. Its description in RNAcentral is "tRNA-Met". It matches the Rfam family "tRNA". From Rfam's summary of the family: Transfer RNA (tRNA) molecules are approximately 80 nucleotides in length. Their secondary structure includes four short double-helical elements and three loops (D, anti-codon, and T loops). The record is from RNAcentral. Lineage: Bacteria; Bacillati; Bacillota; Bacilli; Caryophanales; Bacillaceae.